This is a long non-coding RNA of Mus musculus (house mouse), 754 nucleotides long. RefSeq annotates it as predicted gene, 35995. NCBI's taxonomy places the organism in Eukaryota, Metazoa, Chordata, Mammalia, Rodentia, Muridae. The transcript has 2 exons. The record is from RefSeq and is a predicted model, not a curated record.
ACUCUUUCCCCACACGUAUGAGGCAUUGCCUGGUGACUGUGACUUAGUGUCUCAGCCUCUGCUGUGGCCGAUCAGCUGACUCGGGUCCUUCUGUUCUACCCAGGUGGAAAUCAUGACUAGAAGAGGAGAAUCUCGUCAGUGUUGGAAGUCCCCAGCCUGUGAGUGUCUGAGGCCAAAGGGCAGGACAGGCAGACCCAGAUCUUACAGCACCAAGCCCUGGGAGUUAGGGCUGACUAUUCCAGGAUUAUCUCAGAGACUCGAGAUCUUGGGUUAGACUCAUUCUGCUCUGGGUUUUAACCAACAGUGGCUGGGCAGACACUGGGAAGACUUGGAGAGUCCAAGCCACAUGAACACAGAAGGAGCUUACAAUGGCCACCCUGCCUCCUGCCUUGUGCAUCCUGGCUGGGAUCUGGAUCCUCUGUCUCAGGGCUGACAGCGCUCGGGACGUGGAGGCCUCUUCCACCAGCAGUCAAUCCCAAAGAUCAUCUAACUCGGCUCCCGUCCGGCUGAGCCAUCUCUUUGAAGGUGCCACCGUCUGGUCCACCGACUUGAUGCAUUUGGCUUUCGGCUCUCUGUGGAUGCUGCAAUGAAUUUCGUCACCAAGUUAAGCUCAUCUGUGCUGUUGAAUGAGAAGCUUCUUUCAUACUGGAAUAGAACAGAGGUUGCUGAUACAGCCUAUAAUGACUGGUACCCAGGAAGGUUCUAAAGUACUGUGAUGUCUUAACGUCUAAGUAAAAUCAAUCCUGUGCAGCCA